Molecule: long non-coding RNA, 3298 nt
Organism: Triticum aestivum (bread wheat)
Lineage: Eukaryota; Viridiplantae; Streptophyta; Magnoliopsida; Poales; Poaceae
Exons: 9
Source: RefSeq, a predicted model, not a curated record
GAGACUGCCCUCUCGAUCCCCUCGACCUACGAUCUGUGACUGCAGACGCACCAGAUCGCCGCCGCGGACCUCGCAGAGAAGACGCGGACGAGAUCCCAAGCCGCUGCUCCUCCUCUCCCGGGAUGCAGCCGCCGCCGCCGAACCAGGGAGACGCCGGCGACCGUCGCCGCCGUCGUGGAUCACCAGGACGCCGUCGCCGCCUGCACCGCGACCACCGUGCCUCGGAUACGUCGCUGCGAGGCGGAUCCCUGGGAGCGGGAGGAGGUAGGGGUCAGCCGCGUCGACAGCGGCGAGGUGGAGCCCUGGGGCUGGGAGUGGGUAUGGGAGGAGGUGGGGGGCAGCUGCGAGCGCAACAGGGUGAGGGGCGUCGAUGAGAUGCUCCUGGUGCCUCCCUCCGAGUGGGAGGGGGAGAGGGGCGUCAGCGGCGAGCCGGACGGGGCGAGGGGCGUCAGCGACGAGCCGGACGGGGCGAGGGGCGUCGAUGAGAUGCCCCCGGCGCUUCCCUCCGGGCGGGAGGAGGAGAGGGGCGUCGGCGACGAGGCGAGUGUCGGCGGCGAGAUGGUCUCUGACGGGCGUGAUGAGGCGGGGCAGCUUAGGCGUGAAGCGUGCGUUCGUGGAGGUAUUCGCCAGGGCGCUCUUCUAUCCGACGGUGAUGCUCAACUACGGCCGUAGCUUGAUCGAGCCCGAGUUCCACUGGUGGGAUCGCAUCAACAAGGAUAUUUGGAUAGGGGCGGUUCCUCACCAACCAAUGUCAUAAUUUAUCACGUCCGCAAAUGAUUUUUGGACUGUAGUUUGGAUUGUUCUGCCGAGCGUAUAACAACGCAUGCUAUCUAUCAAAGCUUCGACUCAUUUGUUUUGCUGCUCCGGAAUAUUGAGACGAGAAGAAUGGCCUUGAUGCUGGAGGUUAAUGGAUCACCCUGGGAACGAUUUUGAGGGCAUUAUGCCAGCUACUUUGAUGGCAAUGGAUUAUGGAAUGGCAAACUAACAGGGCACAUCGCACAACUGGUAUAAAUGUGUUGAUAUGUUGCAUUUCAAGGCAGUUUCACUCAUAAAUACUACAAAGUUUGAACCAUUUAGCAUUUGGGACCACGAGGAUUCCGAUUGGGAGAACGACGUCGUCCAUAGAUUAAUGUAUGGGAACACCGGGCCAACCCACUUUACAGGACAGGAGGGUUGACCGCUGGGCGAUGCGCUGCACGAGUAGGCCAGGAGGAACAAGAGUAGAAGAGGACUGUAGCCUGUAGGUGAGAGAAGAUGAUGCCAUUGCCAUCUUGACUGAAGGUUGGGCAUCUAAAGAUGCUUGGCAACCAGAACUCUGAAGCUAAACACCACUUGAAGGUACCUGGAAAUACACUACUUGCUGAAGCUGCACAUCCUACGCCUCGGGAGGAGGCCAAAUGCAUAUUCCGAUCAUGUGAUCUAAAUACUAAAGCUUCCUUGCUGGAUCUAAGGUUUAAUUUCUCUGCCCCAAUGCUGGUUCUUAGGGUAAUACAAGUUCUACUCCAUAUUUUUGAUGCCCUCCACAUAAAUCCAUCACUCUCUUGUUGCCUUGAAGCAUACUUCCGUAGCAGCCGGAGCUGAACAUUUAGAGAGAUCAUACUGUAGCAAGCUUGCUUUCCAGGGACCUGGUGUUUCUGCAAACCCAACGAUAGGCGUGUUUGAAAAAAAAGGUCAGUUCGUGUUGCAAUUUCAUGAAAACUUGCUUAUGCGGUGUUAUUGCACUGGUACAAAAAAUGUCAUGGUCUUUUUCUUCCUGUUUAAAUCGCCACCUACCUAUGAAUUACGACUCUGGGCAUGGCAGAAUGUCACCAUAAUUUUUGUUCAGCAACUAGAUUUCAUCCCAAGACGUGCCAUCUCUCUAAUUUGACUCUGAGCAUGUAAUACAGUUAGUUAAUCAUGUGGGUUGGUCUUGUGUCUUCCAGCUGCAAUUGAAUUAGUCUAAGCAAUUGAGGUCCUACUAAUUAAUUAAGCUGGCUAUUUGCUUGCUUCUUGUACCUACGGCAUGCUCUCUGAUUUUUUUUAUCGCAGUAUGCAAGCUUCUAAGCGCCGGAUUGAUGUCGUACUAACAAAUUAAGCUAAAUGGUGCGCCCGCUGUAGCAAGUGAGUGCCCAUCGAAAUCACCCUGAGCAUAUUUGCGCUGAUUUUCAUGAUUGCUCUUCUGCCAGCAACAAUGUUCCUCGCACUUCGACCACACAACUGUAUGUUCAUGUUCCAGAGUCCUUAUUCAUAGUUAAUUUCAAUCACAAAGUGACAAAUGCCAGUCUAUUAGUUAACAUGUAUAUCUCCGUUUCUUCUAAGUUUCAAUCAACCUACUCUGAAGUUGUUCCUAAGACAGUGCCUCAAGCAAAGGGAAUGAGCCUCAGUUAGUGUAUCUAGCGAGUUCGCGAUCCUUUGUUGGGAUAAACAUUUGUGCAAGAGCAAGUCUCGUCACUGUUGGUUGUUAGUACUGUUGCUUGAUAAUUCUAAUUUUUACUUCAGUUCAUAAGGCAAUGUAGUUAUGCUUGACGCACGAUAUGAAGACUGCCAUUUUGCCUUUUGACCUUGGUUUCUUCCUCCAGUAAGUAAAUGCACAUAGUUCUUUUCUAAAUUAGAGCAUAUGACUUGUUGAUCGAUCUCUGAGCUUAGUAAUAAUAUUAAGCCUUAAUCCGUUUAUUGUGCAGACAAGAUGAGAAAGAAAUGCUACCCAAGAAUAUGUACUUUAUAAACAUUUCAACUGUAAUCUGGAAUAAAAUUAAAUAAAUAAGGAAACAGUAUAUUCAUAUAUCUUUUUUGUACUUUGAUGGUUUCACACCACAAGUUCCUAGAUGGUAAUUGUGCUGCAUAUGUCUGCUCUCUUACUUUGUUUUUCUGAACAGGUAGGUUCCGGAAGAUGUCAUGAAGAAUUUCUUUGAGAGAAUUUGCGUGAGCUGAUCUGUAGCAGUGCGGAAGGUGAGCUUGGCUGCCGGCAGCAGCUCCUUUGGCUGAUCUGCAGCGAUGCAGAAGUUGGGUUGGAAAAAAGCACGACCGGCUGCUCUGAAGUGGGUCGUAGGGAGAGCUUCGUAAGAGAUAGGGAGGGAGCUCUAUUGGCCCGUGCAUGACAUCCAACCCAAUGGCAUCAUGCCCUGGCAUGGUUGCAUGGCCACGGGGAGAAUGGAGCAAGUAGCGUGUGAGGAGUUUAAGAAAUGGGGACAAGGGAUAGUUUAGUUAAUUAAGUCUAUGUUAGUUUCAAGUUUUAUCCUUGUUGCGGUAAAAAAUUAAGGUUGGAUUAACCACCAUGUACAUCUUUAAUUACUUUUAAAUAAGAAAUAUAAUCAAAAUA